Megalops cyprinoides (Indo-Pacific tarpon) is the source of this 796-nucleotide long non-coding RNA. RefSeq lists it as uncharacterized. NCBI's taxonomy places the organism in Eukaryota, Metazoa, Chordata, Actinopteri, Elopiformes, Megalopidae. The record is from RefSeq and is a predicted model, not a curated record. The transcript is spliced from 3 exons.
UUUUGUGAAUGUAUGUUCAGCUAUGUUAUCUUUAAUGUCAUUAAAAGUAAAUUGUUCCUCCGUCAUACGUUAACACGCACACACAGUGUUUGUAGUUCCUAUGUGCACUGCAGUUUCUUACCAUUUACAUUUGAAUAAAAAAUUGGCAGGCACAUCAGUAAAAUGACUAAAGUAACUCAAUGAAUUACCAACUAAUGUAAAGAUUUAAUCUUGCAGUCCAUUUGUACCGUACAAUGUCCCUUGGAUGUGCAUGGAUAUUAUACAGUAAGCAUAUAUUAAAAGACAACAGUAAACAGUUCCAUACCAGCUGAGACAUGAGAUCAACAUGAUUCUGUUUGCACACAUUUCCAUGUUUUCACAGCAAUAUGAUGCAUUUGCUUAAUGUGAUAUUCUACUAAUGGGCUACUAGCAGAAAUGAUACAUGCUACAGUGUGCUUAGGGAACCUUUGAUGAAAACAGUAUUAUUUGUUGAUAAGUGAGUAUGCUUUGAGAAGAAGGGCUUGGAAGGAAAUUGGGCACAUGGACAAGCUGUCACUAACGUGUGUUUCCUUUCAAGGUGGUCUCCAGGACUUGUGCAGGUGUGCUGCAGGUAUAGAAGAUCAAGGGAGAUGGCACACAGCAGUGUACGUGCACCUGCGCUUCCCUCUGCUGGUUAAAAGCUGGCAUUGAAGGAUUUAUUGGCUGUUUGACAAGACAGCUGAGACGCUGCAGGAUCGAGAAAGAGUACUGAGGUGAGGGAAAGGCAAGACAUUGGCAGUGGGUAUAUCUCGUCUGUGCCAGACAGGUCAGGAGUAUG